CUAUAUACAUGCGCGCGCACUAAUUUUUUAUUAAAUUCUUUUCUUUUUAUUUAUAACUCAUACAUAAAUCAUGAAACACUGCUGAUAGAAGAGAAUUUGCUGGUGGGUCUACGAGUUUUUCUUCUAUGGGCAAGUUGCUGCAGACCAGGAAAUUGCUGUGGUUGGUUUUAUUAAAAAAAGGAAAAUUAAGCAGUUGACAAGACAGAAGAAAUCUUUAAAACUAAAAGUGUUGACGGAUGUUACUCAUGGAGAAUUUGAGCCUCUAGUGCAGGAUGGUAGUGGAGAAGGACAGGGCAGUAGUCAUUUGGAAUCUGAUCAAGAUGGCGUUGGUGGCUCACCUAAAGCCACUAGAGAGCUAUGAGCGGUUUAGUCUAGAAUUGUCAGGGGAUAGGGAGGCCUCUCACAAUUUGUCAAUUAAAGAGUUUAUUCCAAACUCACUGUCCCCAAUUUUGGUUUUUGGUAGGGACUAAGAAGGCUGGAGACUUUCUGGAUAGGCAAAGAGUUCAACUAGGCUUUUAAGGCUAUUUUUAUGUUGACCCUCAAUGGGGCUUUAGGUGGUCUAGUGUUAUGGUGGAAUCAAGAAAUCCAGGAAUGCUGAUGGGAUUUUGAUUGAUGGAGCUGCUAUUCUAGAGCCUAGCAUAUCUCAAGCUGCAGCGGAAGCGAGAGCUGCCCUUUUGUGCUUUCAUCUAGCCUAAAAGUUAGGAAUCAGAUCUUUUGAUGUUUGUUUUAAAAAUAAAAUUGUUGUUAAUGCUUUUAGUUCAAAUUGUCAAGUCCCCAAGGAGAUGUUUAAUGCUAUUAGCCAAGCGAAGGAGAGACUUCAUCCUUCCCUUCUAUUUAAUUUUGUUGUUGUGACUAAGACCAGGAAUGGUCCUGCUCAUUGGGUGGCUGAUAAAAUCUUAAGGGGAAGUCUUCCCUAUGCUUGGCUCUCUUGUCCUCUCACCAACUUUCAUUGUAUUGUAUCUAAUGACUGUUUCUUUAGUUAAUGAACUUAUCCUUUGUCCAAAAUAAA
Molecule: long non-coding RNA, 1009 nt
Organism: Ricinus communis (castor bean)
Lineage: Eukaryota; Viridiplantae; Streptophyta; Magnoliopsida; Malpighiales; Euphorbiaceae
Exons: 2
Source: RefSeq, a predicted model, not a curated record